GCUACGGGAGGCAGCAGUGGGGGAUAUUGCACAAUGGGGGAAACCCUGAUGCAGCGACGCCGCGUGUGGGAAGACGGUCUUCUGGAGUGUAAACCACUGUCCCCAGGGACGAAAAUGACGGUACCUGGGGAGGAAGCUCCGGCUAACUACGUGCCAGCAGCCGCUGUAAUACGUAGGGAGCAAGCGUGGUCCGGAAGUACUGGGGUUAAAGGGAGCGUAGGCGGGGAUGCAAGUUGGGUGUCAAAACUACCGGCUCAACCGAUAGUCGCACUCAAAACUGCAACUCUUGAGUGAAGUAGAGGCAGGCGGAAUUCCUAGUGUAGCGGUGAAAUGCGUAGAUAUUAGGAGGAACCCCAGUGGCGACGGCGGCCUGCUGGGCUUUUACUGACGCUGAGGCUCGAAAGUGUGGGGAGCAAACAGGAUUAGAUCCCCGGGUAGUC
This 440-nucleotide ribosomal RNA is filed under the name uncultured bacterium. RNAcentral describes it as "partial 16S ribosomal RNA". It matches the Rfam family "Bacterial small subunit ribosomal RNA", at positions 338 to 795 of the family's 1533-position model. The record is from RNAcentral.